GCUCACGUGGCAUAAUGGCAACGCGUCUGACUUCUAAUCAGAAGAUUGUGGGUUCGACCCCCACCGUGAGUG
This 72-nucleotide transfer RNA is filed under the name Eremothecium cymbalariae DBVPG#7215. RNAcentral's name for it is "tRNA-Arg (TCT) (tRNA-Arg-TCT-2-1)". It matches the Rfam family "tRNA". From Rfam's summary of the family: Transfer RNA (tRNA) molecules are approximately 80 nucleotides in length. Their secondary structure includes four short double-helical elements and three loops (D, anti-codon, and T loops). Lineage: Eukaryota; Fungi; Ascomycota; Saccharomycetes; Saccharomycetales; Saccharomycetaceae. The record is from Rfam by way of RNAcentral.